This 253-nucleotide ribosomal RNA is filed under the name uncultured bacterium. Its description in RNAcentral is "partial 16S ribosomal RNA". It matches the Rfam family "Bacterial small subunit ribosomal RNA", at positions 524 to 776 of the family's 1533-position model. The record is from RNAcentral.
UACGAAGGGGGCUAGCGUUGUUCGGAAUCACUGGGCGUAAAGCGCACGUAGGCGGACGCUUAAGUCAGGGGUGAAAUCCCGAGGCUCAACCUCGGAACUGCCUUUGAUACUGGGUGUCUUGAGUCCGGGAGAGGUGAGUGGAACUGCGAGUGUAGAGGUGAAAUUCGUAGAUAUUCGCAAGAACACCAGUGGCGAAGGCGGCUCACUGGCCCGGAACUGACGCUGAGGUGCGAAAGCGUGGGGAGCGAACGGG